UACGAAGGGGGCUAGCGUUGCUCGGAAUUACUGGGCGUAAAGCGCGCGUAGGCGGACAUUUAAGUCAGGGGUGAAAUGCCGGGGCUCAACCUCGGAACUGCCUUUGAUACUGGGUGUCUGGAGUUCGGGAGAGGUGAGUGGAAUUCCGAGUGUAGAGGUGAAAUUCGUAGAUAUUCGGAGGAACACCAGAAGCGAAGGCGGCUCACUGGCCCGAUACUGACGCUGAGGCGCGAAAGCGUGGGGAGCAAACAGG
RNAcentral lists this ribosomal RNA (253 nucleotides) under uncultured bacterium. RNAcentral describes it as "partial 16S ribosomal RNA". It matches the Rfam family "Bacterial small subunit ribosomal RNA", at positions 524 to 776 of the family's 1533-position model. The record is from RNAcentral.